CCUACGGGAUGCACCAGUGGGGAAUAUUGCACAAUGGGCGCAAGCCUGAUGCAGCCAUGCCGCGUGUGUGAAGAAGGCCUUCGGGUUGUAAAGCACUUUCAGCGGGGAGGAAGGCGGUGAGGCUAAUAACCUUGUCGAUUGACGUUACCCCCAGAAGAAGCACCGGCUAACUCCGUGCCAGCAGCCGCGGUAAUACGGAGGGUGCAAGCGUUAAUCGGAAUUACUGGGCGUAAAGCGCACGCAGGCGGUCUGUCUAGUCGGAUGUGAAAUCCCCGGGCUCAACCUGGGAACUGCAUUCGAAACUGGCAGGCUGGAGUCUUGUAGAGGGGGGUAGAAUUCCAGGUGUAGCGGUGAAAUGCGUAGAGAUCUGGAGGAAUACCGGUGGCGAAGGCGGCCCCCUGGACAUAGACUGACGCUCAGGUGCGAAAGCGUGGGGAGCAAACAGGAUUAGAUACCCGCGUAGUC
Molecule: ribosomal RNA, 465 nt
Filed under: uncultured bacterium
Lineage: Bacteria
Description: bacterial SSU rRNA
Rfam family: Bacterial small subunit ribosomal RNA
Source: RNAcentral